RNAcentral lists this ribosomal RNA (531 nucleotides) under uncultured bacterium. Its description in RNAcentral is "bacterial SSU rRNA". It matches the Rfam family "Bacterial small subunit ribosomal RNA", at positions 10 to 523 of the family's 1533-position model. The record is from RNAcentral.
AGUUUGAUCCUGGCUCAGGAUGAACGCUGGCGGCGUGCCUAAUACAUGCAAGUCGAACGCGCAGCGAGAGGUGCUUGCACCUUUCAAGCGAGUGGCGAACGGGUGAGUAACACGUGGAUAACCUGCCUCAAGGCUGGGGAUAACAUUUGGAAACAGAUGCUAAUACCGAAUAAAACUUAGUAUCGCAUGAUAUCAAGUUAAAAGGCGCUACGGCGUCACCUAGAGAUGGAUCCGCGGUGCAUUAGUUAGUUGGUGGGGUAAAGGCUUACCAAGACAAUGAUGCAUAGCCGAGUUGAGAGACUGAUCGGCCACAUUGGGACUGAGACACGGCCCAAACUCCUACGGGAGGCUGCAGUAGGGAAUCUUCCACAAUGGGCGCAAGCCUGAUGGAGCAACGCCGCGUGUGUGAUGAAGGCUUUCGGGUCGUAAAGCACUGUUGUAUGGGAAGAAAUGCUAAAAUAGGGAAUGAUUUUAGUUUGACGGUACCAUACCAGAAAGGGACGGCUAAAUACGUGCCAGCAGCCGCGGUAA